GUGCAUUUGGGGUCGGCCUUUUGGCCCAUCUCUCAUGGGAAUGAGGAUUCUGUGGUCAAAUACAUUGGGCAGAUGCUGCCUACUUCAUCCCCCUUACUGAGAGUCGAGGAGCAGCCCAUCAGCACAUUAAAGGCUCUGGCCCCUGAGCACCCUGAACAGCCACACAUUUGGCCAGAAGCAAGAAGACCAGUGGGCACUGCCUGAGGCCGUGUCACCGUGCUGCCAACAGCUUCUGUGCCCAAACAGAUGCUGUUGCUGGUGAAGUGUUCAGGAGAGGAGAUUCUGAUUCUCAAGUAUCAUUCAGCCUGAAAAAGGAAGUUUUGACACGGGCUGCAGUAUGGAUGAAGCCUGAAGACAUUCUGCCGACUGAAAGGA
Molecule: long non-coding RNA, 375 nt
Organism: Pan troglodytes (chimpanzee)
Lineage: Eukaryota; Metazoa; Chordata; Mammalia; Primates; Hominidae
Exons: 3
Source: RefSeq, a predicted model, not a curated record